This 497-nucleotide ribosomal RNA is filed under the name uncultured bacterium. Its description in RNAcentral is "partial 16S ribosomal RNA". It matches the Rfam family "Bacterial small subunit ribosomal RNA", at positions 28 to 507 of the family's 1533-position model. The record is from RNAcentral.
GAUGAACGCUGGCGGCGUGCCUAAUACAUGCAAGUCGAGCGAACGGACGAGAAGCUUGCUUCUCUGAUGUUAGCGGCGGACGGGUGAGUAACACGUGGAUAACCUACCUAUAAGACUGGGAUAACUUCGGGAAACCGGAGCUAAUACCGGAUAAUAUUUUGAACCGCAUGGUUCAAAAGUGAAAGACGGUCUUGCUGUCACUUAUAGAUGGAUCCGCGCUGCAUUAGCUAGUUGGUAAGGUAACGGCUUACCAAGGCAACGAUGCAUAGCCGACCUGAGAGGGUGAUCGGCCACACUGGAACUGAGACACGGUCCAGACUCCUACGGGAGGCAGCAGUAGGGAAUCUUCCGCAAUGGGCGAAAGCCUGGCGGAGCAACGCCGCGUGAGUGAUGAAGGUCUUCGGAUCGUAAAACUCUGUUAUUAGGGAAGAACAUAUGUGUAAGUAACUGUGCACAUCUUGACGGUACCUAAUCAGAAAGCCACGGCUGACUACGUG